GGGCGGUAAGCUCAGUGGUAGAGCGCAUGCUUUCCAUGUAUGAGGCCACGGGUUCAAUCCCCGUUAUGUCCA
Molecule: transfer RNA, 72 nt
Filed under: Pelodiscus sinensis (Chinese soft-shelled turtle)
Lineage: Eukaryota; Metazoa; Chordata; Testudines; Trionychidae
Rfam family: tRNA
About the family: Transfer RNA (tRNA) molecules are approximately 80 nucleotides in length. Their secondary structure includes four short double-helical elements and three loops (D, anti-codon, and T loops). Further hydrogen bonds mediate the characteristic L-shaped molecular structure. tRNAs have two regions of fundamental functional importance: the anti-codon, which is responsible for specific mRNA codon recognition, and the 3' end, to which the tRNAs corresponding amino acid is attached (by aminoacyl-tRNA synthetases). tRNAs cope with the degeneracy of the genetic code in two manners: having more than one tRNA (with a specific anti-codon) for a particular amino acid; and 'wobble' base-pairing, i.e. permitting non-standard base-pairing at the 3rd anti-codon position.
Source: Rfam by way of RNAcentral